This is a non-coding RNA of Pelobates cultripes (western spadefoot toad), 241 nucleotides long. Lineage: Eukaryota; Metazoa; Chordata; Amphibia; Anura; Pelobatidae. The record is from the annotation of a GenBank genome assembly.
AUUCGUGCGGUUGUUCGGUAGAUUGAAUCUACCGAACACCGGGCAGAAAAGCACGAAUAAGUCUUUUCUGCAGGGGAAACAAAGUCUUUUAACAUGGGGCCAUGAUCCAAAGGUAGCAGGCGAGCAACCAGGCUUCUCCAAUGCAAUGUGGCGAGAUUGCUCUCGUCACAUCUAUGUAGCACUUAGUGUGCACACUUUCACUUGAUAGCGCUGCCCUCAUUUUUUUCUUUCUACUUCUGUU